Betta splendens (Siamese fighting fish) is the source of this 80-nucleotide small nucleolar RNA. Ensembl annotates it as small nucleolar RNA SNORD53/SNORD92. NCBI's taxonomy places the organism in Eukaryota, Metazoa, Chordata, Actinopteri, Anabantiformes, Osphronemidae. The record is from Ensembl.
AAGGUGUGAUGAUGCUAAGACAGGUUUCGCAUGCUGGGCUGAGAUAAUGUGAUGUAGUGUCCUCUUGGCUGUCUGACCAG